Molecule: non-coding RNA, 29 nt
Filed under: Bombyx mori (domestic silkworm)
Lineage: Eukaryota; Metazoa; Arthropoda; Insecta; Lepidoptera; Bombycidae
Source: RNAcentral
UAACUUCGACAUAUGCGUGCGCAACCUGC